This 434-nucleotide ribosomal RNA is filed under the name uncultured Oscillospiraceae bacterium. RNAcentral describes it as "partial 16S ribosomal RNA". It matches the Rfam family "Bacterial small subunit ribosomal RNA", at positions 341 to 792 of the family's 1533-position model. The record is from RNAcentral. Lineage: Bacteria; Bacillati; Bacillota; Clostridia; Eubacteriales; Oscillospiraceae.
ACGGAGGCAGCAGUGGGGAAUAUUGGGCAAUGGGGGAAACCCUGACCCAGCAACGCCGCGUGAAGGAAGAAGGCCUUCGGGUUGUAAACUUCUUUUACCAGGGACGAAAUUUGACGGUACCUGGAGAAAAAGCAACGGCUAACUACGUGCCAGCAGCCGCGGUAAUACGUAGGUUGCAAGCGUUGUCCGGAUUUACUGGGUGUAAAGGGCGUAUAGGCGGAGCUGCAAGUCAGAUGUGAAAUCCCGGGGCUCAACCCCGGAACUGCAUUUGAAACUGUAGCCCUUGAGUAUCGGAGAGGCAAGCGGAAUUCCUAGUGUAGCGGUGAAAUGCGUAGAUAUUAGGAGGAACACCAGUGGCGAAGGCGGCUUGCUGGACGACAACUGACGCUGAGGCGCGAAAGCGUGGGGAGCAAACAGGAUUAGAUACCCUGGUA